This is a long non-coding RNA of Pogonomyrmex barbatus (red harvester ant), 1597 nucleotides long. NCBI's taxonomy places the organism in Eukaryota, Metazoa, Arthropoda, Insecta, Hymenoptera, Formicidae. The record is from RefSeq and is a predicted model, not a curated record.
UUCCAACGUCAUAUCUGCGCAGAACGGAUCCAAAUUGGAUCUCUACGAGCAUACCUUGGCUGCGUUCGUAACUUACUGGCAGUACUGCCAGCAUGACGUCAUUAUAGAGUGCUAUGCAAGCGUUCCGUUUUUACUAGUUCAUUACGCUUACUGUGAAAUUGUGGAAAUGGAACGAGAUUGAACAAUACUGCAUACAACUGCAUAUGACGCUGUCAUAUAAUAAUAUAAGAAAAUGGAAAGUUUUUAUAAUUAAUAAUACAUGCACAUAUAAUGGAAUCAAGUAAUGAUGAAUCUGAUAGUGACUCUGAUGCAAUGAAGAAAAUGUUAAUAUUAAAGAAAAAUUACAUCGGAAUACAUUCUUUUUAUAUUAGAAUUAAUAGAGUUAAUCUUAGAAAGAGAUGGAAAAUCAGAUAGAUGCAUCUCUCCUGAAAAGCAAUUAUUAAAGCAAUAAUUAUUAAAGCAAUAAUUUCGUAUAUAAUAAUGUUUAUAUAAACUUGGUGUAGUGCGAAUGACCGAAUCUGUUAUAUUAAACUUUAUUUUUAUCUCGCAAUGCUUUUUGUGCGUUUUCUUUAUUAUUAUUUUAUAUUGAAUAUUUGUUUCUGCAUCGAGUAAGGUGUAAGUAACUCUUCUUUCUCGAACGUCACCAUUUUGUACUGUGACUGCUGCGUCUUUUUAGCUACAGUAGCUGCAGCAGAAAGUGACGACAAAAUUUAUGACGUCAUUAUUCUAUUGUGCUAUCGUAGCACACUGGAAUGAAUUUCGAAACGGCAUUACAGUACUGCCAGUACUGGCAGUAAGUUACGGAACGCAGCCCUUAUCCCCUUACCAUAGAACAAUGAUUCGUCUCAAGUCAGUUUGGACUUUAUGAUCUACAUGAAAUAUUUACUUUAUAUUAGGGAGAUUAUAAUUUGAUAUUAUAGCCUGAAGAUAUUGUCUCGAUCACCGUCAAUGCGUUUUCUUCACAUUAUAGAAUUUUAAAAUUAACUCUUUAAAUUCAGUUUAUUUUUUUAACAGUUUUCGAGUGCAUUGGGUUUUCAUUAGGCUGAUGGUAGAGAACGAAAUGUUGCGCUGUCUCGUUCUUUGCCAUCAGCCUUAAUCUGAGACAACGUGCAUUAUUUUGUAAAACAAAUGAAAUUAAAAUAUAAUAUUUAUUACAUUAUAUUAAUGAAUUAUAUUAAAAAUUCAUUUCUUUAUUAAAGCAUUUUGUUAUAUCUUUCUGCUAUUACUUGAUAAAAUCAAUUUUAUAAAUAUUAUUGAAAUAGACUGGAAAUCUCAUCAAAUUCCAAUUUUUAAUAAAUGUGUUCAAAUUGUCAUAAAUGGCAUUAGUAACACGAAAACAAUAAAAUUAAAACAUUCCUUUUGCUUGAGAAUUUUCAUACGGUGUAAGAUCUUGUAAAUUCAAUUAAAAAAUAAAUAAUUAUUUUUGUUAUAAUUAUUUAUUAUUGUAUAUGCUUAAGAUGAUAAACAUGUAACAACUGCCAAUACAAGUUGCACUUAAGCUAUUCUUAUUUACAGUUGAUUAAAACUAGUUUAAAAGCCAAAAUAGAUUACAUAUAUAUAGAAUAGAUCUAAACGAAAUUGACAUGUUUCUAUAUAG